Molecule: ribosomal RNA, 777 nt
Filed under: uncultured Neocallimastigales
Lineage: Eukaryota; Fungi; Neocallimastigomycota; Neocallimastigomycetes; Neocallimastigales
Description: partial large subunit ribosomal RNA
Rfam family: Eukaryotic large subunit ribosomal RNA
Source: RNAcentral
AGAGAUGUGUGAUGACGCAUAUCAAUAAGCGGAGGAAAAGAAACUAACAAGGAUUCCCCUAGUAACGGCGAGUGAAGCGGGAAGAGCUCAAAUUUGAAAUCUUAAAGGGUUUCCCAUUGACGAAUUGUAGUUUAAAGAAGUGUUUUCUGUUGGAGUUUUGGUAAAAGUUCUUUGGAAUAGGACAUCAUAGAGGGUGAGAAUCCCGUAUUUGACCGUUAUUUUCAGCUGUGUGAUACACUUUCAAAGAGUCGGAUUGUUUGGGAAUGCAGUCCAAAAUGGGUGGUAAAUUUCAUCUAAAGCUAAAUAUUGGCGAGAGACCGAUAGCGAACAAGUACCGUGAGGGAAAGAUGAAAAGAACUUUGAAAAGAGAGUUAAACAGUACGUGAAAUUGUCAAAAGGGAAGCGUUUGACACCAGUGUUGUUUUCUCGAAAAUCAAUUAAAAAUAACUUGAUUUUGUGUUGUAUUGACCUUAAAAGCUUUCUUCACUCUUUUCCUGUUAUUUUUAAUGCACUUUUCGUUUAACAAGUCAACAUCAGUUUCUUUUGUUGUAAAAAGGUCAUUGGAAGGUGGCUUUCUUUUCGGAGAAAGUGUUUAUAGCCUUUGACUCCUGCAAUCGGAGGGACUGAGGUCUGCAGCGUAGAUCCUUUUUUGGAUUAGAUUCAUUUGUGCUAAGUUAUAGCUUUUUAUAGACAACAUGUUGACUAUAUUUAGUCUUGUAACUUACUCGCUUAUGUAAUUUUACCUACGCUUAGGAUGUUGAAGUCAUCGUAUCGCGC